This 393-nucleotide long non-coding RNA is filed under the name Malus domestica (apple). RNAcentral's name for it is "long non-coding RNA (MDOM_LNC016432)". Lineage: Eukaryota; Viridiplantae; Streptophyta; Magnoliopsida; Rosales; Rosaceae. The record is from RNAcentral.
CAAAUCUUCGUCGAGAGAACAGGGAUUGUGUUCGAGGGAUUGCGGUUGGUAUUGCUGCGAUGGUGGUCUUCGAUAAGGGAGUAGAAUUAGUCGGUGACCCAGCCUAGUCUGGUUUAGUAGUGGGGUAGUGGGAGAGACUUCUCGAUGCAAAUAGAUAAAAGAAAGGGGGAAGACUUAAGAAAAUUAAAUUAAUGGAACAUCUAGUAUUAUACAUUUUUUGUCAUUUCACACAGUCACAGUUGUUUUACAUAAAAGUUUACCAAACACUAUAAUACUGCUUUUUUUUUCCAAAAACACUUUUAUAAAAAAGUUUACCAAACACUCUGUAUGGAAUGCCCUGAAUAUUUUAGAAAUGAUGUAGAUAUUCAUGUUAUUGUUUAGGUUGAGGAAAUC